GACGAACGCUGGCGGCGUGCUUAACACAUGCAAGUCGAACGGAAAGGCCCUGCUUUUGUGGGGUGCUCGAGUGGCGAACGGGUGAGUAACACGUGAGUAACCUGCCCUUGACUUUGGGAUAACUUCAGGAAACUGGGGCUAAUACCGGAUAGGAGCUCCUGCUGCAUGGCGGGGGUUGGAAAGUUUCGGCGGUUGGGGAUGGACUCGCGGCUUAUCAGCUUGUUGGUGGGGUAGUGGCUUACCAAGGCUUUGACGGGUAGCCGGCCUGAGAGGGUGACCGGCCACAUUGGGACUGAGAGACGGCCCAGACUCCUACGGGAGGCAGCAGUGGGGAAUAUUGCACAAUGGGCGGAAGCCUGAUGCAGCAACGCCGCGUGCGGGAUGACGGCCUUCGGGUUGUAAACCGCUUUCGCCUGUGACGAAGCGUGAGUGACGGUAAUGGGUAAAGAAGCACCGGCUAACUACGUG
Molecule: ribosomal RNA, 468 nt
Filed under: uncultured bacterium
Lineage: Bacteria
Description: partial 16S ribosomal RNA
Rfam family: Bacterial small subunit ribosomal RNA
Source: RNAcentral